AACGCACGAGACCUGCGGACCUGCGGAGGGAUCAUUAGUGAACGCCCUCACGGGCUUAUAACUAUUCCAAACCUCUGUGAACCGUGCCCUUCGGGGCUAUUUUACAAACAUGGCGUAAUGAACGUCAUAUAUCAUAACAAAACAAAACUUUUAACAAUGGAUCUCU
Molecule: unclassified non-coding RNA, 166 nt
Filed under: soil metagenome
Description: partial contains 5.8S ribosomal RNA, internal transcribed spacer 2, and large subunit ribosomal RNA
Source: RNAcentral